Molecule: ribosomal RNA, 468 nt
Filed under: uncultured bacterium
Lineage: Bacteria
Description: partial 16S ribosomal RNA
Rfam family: Bacterial small subunit ribosomal RNA
Source: RNAcentral
GACGAACGCUGGCGGCGGGCUUAACACAUGCAAGUCGAACGGAAAGGCCCUGCUUUUGUGGGGUGCUCGAGUGGCGAACGGGUGAGUAACACGUGAGUAACCUGCCCUUGACUUUGGGAUAACUUCAGGAAACUGGGGCUAAUACCGGAUAGGAGCUCCUGCUGCAUGGUGGGGGUUGGAAAGUUUCGGCGGUUGGGGAUGGACUCGCGGCUUAUCAGCUUGUUGGUGGGGUAGUGGCAUACCAAGGCUUUGACGGGUAGCCGGCCUGAGAGGGUGACCGGCCACAUUGGGACUGAGAGACGGACCAGACUCCUACGGGAGGCAGCAGUGGGGAAUAUUGCACAACGGGAGGGAGCCUGAUGCAGCAACGCCGCGUGCGGGAUGACGGCCUUCGGGUUGUAAACCGCUUUCGCCUGUGACGAAGCGUGAGUGACGGUAAUGGGUAAAGAAGCACCGGCUAACUACGUG